Molecule: ribosomal RNA, 386 nt
Filed under: uncultured prokaryote
Description: bacterial SSU rRNA
Rfam family: Archaeal small subunit ribosomal RNA
Source: RNAcentral
GCGCGAAAACUUUACAAUGCUGGCAACAGCGAUAAGGGAACCUCGAGUGCCAGGUUACAAAUCUGGCUGUCGAGAUGCCUAAAAAGCAUUUCAUAGCAAGGGCCGGGCAAGACCGGUGCCAGCCGCCGCGGUAACACCGGCGGCUCGAGUGGUAACCGUUAUUAUUGGGUCUAAAGGGUCUGUAGCCGGCCGGAUAAGUCUCUUGGGAAAUCUGGCAGCUUAACUGUCAGGCUUUCAGGAGAUACUGUUCGGCUCGAGGCCGGGAGAGGUGAGAGGUACUUCAGGGGUAGGGGUGAAAUCUUGUAAUCCUUGAAGGACCACCAGUGGCGAAGGCGUCUCACCAGAACGGACCUGACGGCAAGGGACGAAAGCUAGGGGCACGAACC